Long non-coding RNA from Drosophila serrata, 1986 nucleotides. Lineage: Eukaryota; Metazoa; Arthropoda; Insecta; Diptera; Drosophilidae. The record is from RefSeq and is a predicted model, not a curated record.
AUUCUAGUACAUAUGUGUGUUACAUACAAUAUCAGUCAAAUUCAUAUUGGAUAUACAUAUGUACAUAUGCACAUAUUAAAUGUUUUACCUUUUGUAAGUUACCAAAACAUAUGUAUGUAUGUAUAUUGUUUCUUCCCCGGAAACGAGGAUACAAUUAUUGUGACCUCAGCUGGUGCGGCAUUCACCUCAAUCACAUUUUGUGCAGGCCGACAAAUUGUCGCACAACAUUUAACGCCCGGGAUUGGGUCAGCGGACAGGGUCAGGCAGGAGCGGCGAGGGAAAGAUGACUUUGUUGGCGGCAAUAUCCAAGGGCAGCAUACAAAAAAAUUCCUUUGAAUUGCGUCCGUUGCAGCAGAAGUGCACACACACACAGGCAGCCUGUGGCUAUGCGCAAAAAAGGACAUCUCCUCCGGCGGUGUGGCUCCGGUGGCUGCCUAUCGGGGCUAGGCAACUGACCAGCCGCCACCCAGCUCGGCUCGGCUCGGAGGUGUGGUAGCAUUGUGUGCGCCCUUCUCUAUUAUGCAUUGCGUACCCGGCGUGUUGACAUUUUUAUUCCAAACAGUUGAGCAAUAUUUAUAGACUGCCUGCCGAACGAGGAGGCCGAGGAGAAGGAGGGAAUGCAUGUCCAUGGUGCAUGGCCAAAGGCAUUAUUUCAUGGCUGAGCAGCGUGUAAAACAUCCUCGUGGUUUCAAGCUUAUUAAAUGUGCAAUUUGAUUAACAUUGCUGUACGCCCACUCAGCUAAUGGAAGGACCAAGGCGAAUCCUAGACAUGGCGAAACAUCAGGACAAUUAGGAAGAGAAAGGAAGCACUUCCAACUCAAUAAAGGUAUUUAAUGUUGACAUUUAGUUAGUUACGACUUAUUUAUUUACAGAAAUGCUGGGCUGUCUUAACCUUCUACAAAUUCUCCAUCAAAAGUCCAAGUUACUUGCAAGUAAUACCUAAAUUUGUUUGUUAUCGAACAUAAAUCCUUCCAUAAAGAAAAGUUUAAGUUGCCAACGAUGUCUGUGGAUAGUUUCUUGUACUUAUAAAGGAAUUUAGCGAACUGUUAAGCCUUUAGCUACUGCAAACAUCGGUAUAUUUUUCUGAACACAUAAUUUUAAUUACCUAAAUUAGUUAUAGCCCGGCCUUCCCUAUAUCAAAUAACAUUUGCUAAAGGACAACAGCUGUCAUUCUAACAUUACGCAAUUAACCGCAAAUGUACAAUUUACCUUUGUCGCCACUCAAUUGCUAUUGUUUUUCCUUGGCAGCUUAUUAAAUGUCAUAUUUUGCGGGCCCAGAGGCGACAAGGCGAAGGCGAUACCGAAGUCUGGAUUUGUUGAUGUUUGCUUGUGGAGAAACACCUUGGAGCCUGCCCAGCCAAGUGCCAGGUCGAGGCCCAGGAUCCUCUAAUUGAAUGACAAUAUUAUGCCAAGACCUAAUUCAAUUUGCAUUGCUUGGGAAGAGCUUCAGGUGGAGCUGCUGUCGGAGCCGGCACAUUGGUGGAAUCUUAAACAAACACGGCAAUUACAGCAAAACGGAUGCACUUGUCUGGCCCGAAAUGACUUGGCCUCUGUGUAAUUAGCCUCGGGGAUGAAGGAAAGGAUGCGGGAUGGUGGCGGAUGGGACCUGUGUCGAUCCUGUUGCCUAAUUACGGGGUAAUCAGGCUUUCAGUCGCCUCGGCUACCGUUGACCCAGGCGAAUGAUGAUUGAUUAGGGCCACCAAGUGGAUAUGAAACAGAGGUGACACAGCUGCCUCCAGGAGCAGGAGAUGCGCGUGCCAAAACAAAAGGAGGCGAGGCGAGGAAAGUGCAAAUAGCAGCUGAAAUGGAUAUGGAAAGCAGCCAGAACAACGACGACGCGCGCAAAGGGAAAAAGCAAAUCGAAAACUGAUUUGGAGCGGAAGUUCGUUUGCACCUUUCUGCAGUUUCCUGUAUUUGCUGUCGCUGUCGCUGUCAGAACAAUAAACACACAUAUGCCGAGGGCCCAGCCCAUCCACAAUCGCAAUC